UCCAGACUCCUACGGGAGGCAGCAGUGGGGAAUAUUGGGCAAUGGAGGAAACUCUGACCCAGCAACGCCGCGUGAAUGAUGAAGGUCUUCGGAUUGUAAAGUUCUUUUCUAAGGGAAGAAGAAAGUGACGGUACCUUAGGAAUAAGCCUCGGCUAACUACGUGCCAGCAGCCGCGGUAAUACGUAGGGGGCAAGCGUUAUCCGGAUUUACUGGGUGUAAAGGGAGCGUAGACGGCAGCGCAAGUCUGGAGUGAAAUGCCGGGGCUCAACCCCGGAACUGCUUUGGAAACUGUGCAGCUAGAGUGCGGGAGAGGUAAGCGGAAUUCCUAGUGUAGCGGUGAAAUGCGUAGAUAUUAGGAGGAACACCAGUGGCGAAGGCGGCUUGCUGGACCGUAACUGACGUUGAGGCUCGAAAGCGUGGGGAGCAAACAGGAUUAGAUACCCGAGUA
RNAcentral lists this ribosomal RNA (448 nucleotides) under uncultured bacterium. RNAcentral describes it as "bacterial SSU rRNA". It matches the Rfam family "Bacterial small subunit ribosomal RNA", at positions 330 to 792 of the family's 1533-position model. The record is from RNAcentral.